RNAcentral lists this unclassified non-coding RNA (1575 nucleotides) under Tylenchida environmental sample. RNAcentral's name for it is "sequence contains 18S rRNA gene, ITS1, 5.8S rRNA gene, ITS2, 28S rRNA gene". The stretch from base 540 to 1575 matches the Rfam family "Eukaryotic large subunit ribosomal RNA", at positions 1 to 961 of the family's 3401-position model. The record is from RNAcentral. Lineage: Eukaryota; Metazoa; Nematoda; Chromadorea; Rhabditida.
UGCUGGAUCAUCACAUAUACCAUUCUAACAAUUUUGUUGUUAUCAACGGCUUUUGUUGGCUUCUAUGCAUUGCCCAGCAACUGUAUGCUAAUGUCCGUGGUUGUUAAAGGCUUUGCCAUAUCCUCUAUUUUAUAAAUAUAGGAGAGAAUUAAUGAGUGCCAGCAAGGUGCCGCCAACUUUGACCAUUACUCUUUAAUUUAAAUAAUAAAUAACAAGAAUAUAGCCUUAUCGGUGGAUCACUCGGUUCGUAGAUCGAUGAAGAACGCAGCCAACUGCGAUAACUCGUGUGAACUGCAGAUAUUUUGAGCACCGAGACUUCGAAUGCACAUUGCGCCAUUGGAAUAACAUCCUUUGGCACAUCUGGCUCAGGGUCGUUUCAACAACAAACGAUUCCAUUCGUUUCUGUUAGUGUGACCACUCUUAAAAAGGUGAUUUCACUUGUUGAUACAAUAAAUACUAAGCAUCAACACAAGCAUUACUAUCAUUAAGUCGAUGCUAGACUGAAGAUAGUGUAUGUGUAAUGUUUAGUUUUCAUUAAAUGACCUGAGCUCAGAUGUGAAAACCCGCUGAACUUAAGCAUAUCAGUAAGCGGAGGAAAAGAAACCAACAGGGAUUCCCAUAGUAACGGCGAGUGAACUGGGAAGAGUCCAACGCUAAGAAUCUUCCCAUGGAAGAUUAAUGCAGCGUACAGUCAAUUCAGUCCCCGAAUAGUCAUUGUCUCAAAUCUCCCUUGAGUGGGGUUCCAAAGAAGGUGCAAGGCCUGUCGAGACUUUAGAUUAUACGGGUUUGAGUUGUCUUAGAGUCGGGUUGUUUGGGAACGCAGCCCAAAGUAGGUGGUAAACUUCACCUAAGACUAAAUAUUGCUACGAAUCCGAUAGCAAACAAGUACCGUGAGGGAAAGUUGCAAAGCACUUUGAAGAGAGAGUUAAAGAGGACGUGAAACCGGUAAGGUGGAAACGGAUAGAGCCAACGAAUCCUACUUGUAUUCAAUGAAUCUAACAAAGAUUCAUGCAUUUGCAAGUGGAGUGCGCUGAGCAAUGCGAAGUAGCGGUUGGAUAUAUGUCGCAGAGGCCAUCUGAAAAUGAUGGAACCUAGAUAUAAGGAAGACUGUUUACUUUGCAUUUAACAUUAAAGAUAAUGGCUUACGCUGUUUAUUAUUCUCAUGAUCUGUAUAGAUGGCGGCCGCAUGCGACACGUAUUUAUAUAGGUUGUGUAGAGUAGUAGAUUGCUCAUUAUCAUGCUCGGUGUAAACGUUGGUCAUCUCUCCGACCCGUCUUGAAACACGGACCAAGGAGUUUAACGUAUACGCAAGUCAAUGUGUGAUAAACACAUAGGCGAAGUGAAAGCAAUUCCUCUGAUUCUUGAAUAAAGAAGCAAGGAGCUCCUUUUUUUCCUUUGAAAGAAAGAGAGAGAGCGUGUGCGCUGAGACCCGAAAGAUGGUGAACUAUUCCUGAGCAGGAUGAAGCCAGAGGAAACUCUGGUGGAAGUCCGAAGCGGUCCUGACGUGCAAAUCGGUCGUCUGACUUGGGUAUAGGGGCGAAAGACUAAUCGAACCAUCUAGUAGCUGGUUCCCUC